This 92-nucleotide ribosomal RNA is filed under the name Salmonella enterica subsp. enterica serovar Typhimurium. Its description in RNAcentral is "partial 16S ribosomal RNA". It matches the Rfam family "Bacterial small subunit ribosomal RNA", at positions 1 to 87 of the family's 1533-position model. Lineage: Bacteria; Pseudomonadati; Pseudomonadota; Gammaproteobacteria; Enterobacterales; Enterobacteriaceae. The record is from RNAcentral.
AGUUUUAAGUGAAGAGUUUGAUCCUGGCUCAGAGUGAACGCUGGCGGUAGGCCUAACACAUGCAAGUCGAACGGCAGCACAGGAGAGCUUGC